Molecule: non-coding RNA, 100 nt
Filed under: Psychromonas ingrahamii
Lineage: Bacteria; Pseudomonadati; Pseudomonadota; Gammaproteobacteria; Alteromonadales; Psychromonadaceae
Also listed under: 1 other name
Description: TPP sequence
Rfam family: TPP riboswitch aptamer (THI element)
About the family: Vitamin B(1) in its active form thiamin pyrophosphate (TPP) is an essential coenzyme that is synthesised by coupling of pyrimidine and thiazole moieties in bacteria.
Source: RNAcentral
CAAAUAUAGUCGGGGGGCCUGAAGGCUGAGAUCGCAUAGUGCGAAACCCGUUGAACCUGAUUCAGUUAAUACUGGCGUAGGGAACUAUAAGUCUUGUUUU